GAUGAACGCUGGCGGCAUGCCUAACACAUGCAAGUCGAACGGACACCUUCGGGUGUCAGUGGCGAACGGGUGAGUAACGCGUAGGAAUCUACCCCUGGGAGGGGGAUAACAGCUGGAAACGGCUGCUAAUACCCCAUACAGGCGCAAGCUGAAAGGAGCAAUCCGCCCAGGGAUGAGCCUGCGUCGGAUUAGCUAGUUGGUGGGGUAAUGGCCUACCAAGGCGACGAUCCGUAGCGGGUCUGAGAGGAUGGCCCGCCACACUGGGACUGAGACACGGCCCAGACUCCUACGGGAGGCAGCAGUGGGGAAUUUUCCGCAAUGGGCGAAAGCCUGACGGAGCAAUGCCGCGUGAGGGAGGAAGGCCUUCGGGUUGUAAACCUCUUUUCUGGGGGACGAAGUUCUGACGGUACCCCAGGAAUAAGCCUCGGCUAACUCUGUGCCAGCAGCC
Molecule: ribosomal RNA, 448 nt
Filed under: uncultured cyanobacterium
Lineage: Bacteria; Bacillati; Cyanobacteriota
Description: bacterial SSU rRNA
Rfam family: Bacterial small subunit ribosomal RNA
Source: RNAcentral